Molecule: long non-coding RNA, 756 nt
Organism: Cyclopterus lumpus (lumpfish)
Lineage: Eukaryota; Metazoa; Chordata; Actinopteri; Perciformes; Cyclopteridae
Source: Ensembl
GUUUAAUCUGGAGGAUGUGAGAGGUUCCCCUCCGACUCGAGCUGCAGAACACUUGUUAGAUUUUAGGAAGUGUCCCAUCAGUUUAUGGAAUAUUAGUUGGCAUCACACGUAAAAAUACAAAGGAGGUAAAGAGCCAAAUUAAGUUAAAAUACAUUUAUUCUCUCAAACAUGUUUCAGGAAAACAAAAUAACUUAAAUUAAUGCAGCCGGCUGGAGCGAAAAAGCAGAGAUAGUAAAUCAGCCAUUUGUUUCCAAGCGCGAUUUGACUUUGUGAAAUGGCCUCGCUCCAUCUACGAGCGUCUGAAGGUUCCCCGUCAACCAGUUCUCCCAGACUCUGGACCACCAGACAGGUACGUGAGGAACACUGUUGGGUUCUUAUCGGUACCAUGAGGGCGUGUUUUCAUGAAGGUGGUUCUGGGUAGACGUGACGGUCCUUUUCUCUGCAGGUGUGAACACGUCACCUCUCUGGUGGAGAGCAAGAAAGCCCAGCUGGUCAUCAUCGCCCACGAUGUGGAUCCCAUUGAGCCUAAAGGAAAGAAGGUGGUCAACCCCUUGUUUGAGAAGAGGACAAAGAACUUCGGCAUCGGUCAAGAUAUUCAGCCCUCUUUGUGAAAUGGACUCGUUCAUCCAGGAUCUGGACCGCCAGACCACCACACAGCUGUUGAAGCUGGCCCACGAGUACCGGCCAGAGACGAAGAAGCAGAGGCUGCUGGGAGAGAAGAUACCGAGAGGCCUCCUGUCCUCCGUGCAGGUGUGA